RNAcentral lists this ribosomal RNA (250 nucleotides) under uncultured bacterium. Its description in RNAcentral is "partial 16S ribosomal RNA". It matches the Rfam family "Bacterial small subunit ribosomal RNA", at positions 525 to 775 of the family's 1533-position model. The record is from RNAcentral.
ACGUAGGUGGCAAGCGUUGUCCGGAAUUAUUGGGCGUAAAGCGCGCGCAGGCGGUUUGCUAAGUCCAUCUUAAAAGUGCGGGGCUUAACCCCGUGAUGGGAUGGAAACUGGCAGACUGGAGUAUCGGAGAGGAAAGCGGAAUUCCUAGUGUAGCGGUGAAAUGCGUAGAGAUUAGGAAGAACACCGGUGGCGAAGGCGGCUUUCUGGACGACAACUGACGCUGAGGCGCGAAAGCGUGGGGAGCAAACAG